This 2438-nucleotide long non-coding RNA is filed under the name Bos grunniens (domestic yak). RNAcentral describes it as "lncRNA (ENSBGRG00000026394.1)". The record is from RNAcentral. Lineage: Eukaryota; Metazoa; Chordata; Mammalia; Artiodactyla; Bovidae.
GUCCUGAUUUUUUAGGAUAUCAAGAAAAGAGAGGAUAAGCGCCAAGACAGAGGGCAAUAGACUGCCCCUGUGCCCUUCAUACUGAAACCUUCCUAGAUUACUGAGAAUGGUCCUAAGAAAUCGGGUCAGAGGAUUACUAAUAUAUUUACAUAUAUAUAUUUUUUACCUCAUUAGCUGGUCAACCCAGGAGGCAAACAUUGCCACCCGUGCCCAAGCAACUGCUCCAAGGAGCUGACGGCGGUUGCCUGCAUCGAGUUCCCCGCCGGCGGCUCCUUCUGGCCGGACACCCUGUGCCAAAGAGCGCCCGGGGAAGCAGACAGCAAUAGGGGAGUACACAGAUGUCAUGGAUGCACAGGCAUGAUUGUAAUCUGACCAGAAAGGAGAGCGAGGCAAGGCGACCGCCGGCGGAUCCGAGUCGGGGAGCCUCGGCAAUUGGGCUGCCGGCAGUGCGUGCGCGCACAGGUGCCUCGGGCCGGCGGCGCCGGGAGCUAGCGCAGCCGCCUCUCGGCCUCAGCACUCUCACCAGCGUGCCGAAGACCCGGCUGCGGCCGAGCCUGGCCACCCCCAGCCCAAGCCGCGGGAGGAAGAGCCCAAGGAAAGGGCGCGAAGGGGGAAGGAGGGGAGGGGAGGGGAGGUGAGGGGAGGUGGGGGGGGGAAGAGACCCUACUCCUCCUCGCCGAGAUCUCCUCCCCGAGCCCUUCUGGUGGGAACCUUGGCGGGGCUCGCGCGCCCCCCCCUCCCUCCUCCCCACUCUGGGAGUCCGUCUCCCCUCUCCCCUUGCUCCCCCCCACCUCCCUUCUCUUCCCUCCCUCCCUGCCGCGUGCCUCGUCCCCUCCCCCUCGUCUCCCUCCCUCGCAGCGGCGGCAGCAGUAGCCGCUUCAGCAGAGCCGGAGAUGGGCAGAGAGCGCGCGCGGCGCAGCAGCUCCGGAUACGCCGCCCUCCCCGCCCGCAGCUCCCCGCUCCCCCGCCGCCGCUGUCGCCGCCUCGGCGUCCCCCGGCUCCAGUCUCGCUCCUAGGACAGCGCCGCUGCCACCGCUCGGCCCUGCCCGCCGCCUGCGCCGCGCAGCUCUCACUCGCUCCUGGAUGGCGCUUUCCACCCCGGACCGGUUUAGAAUGUAAUAAUUCAAGAAUUUUAUCAUCAAGUGGAAUAGCUUAACAACUGUCUAUGUGCUUCCCAUGAUAUGUUCUCUACAGUUCCUUUCCUUGUUGGAGACCCUGAGGUUAUAAAAUCUAUCAAAAGUGACUUGGAACUUACUGACUCUCGAUCCUGCUUCAAGAAGGCAGGGAGCUGGAGCUGCCUGCUGGUAUUUUGUGGGAGCUGGAGGUAGCAGUGGGCAGACUGUUAGCAUGUCAUUUCAGAACACUGAAUGCUUUUUGACACAAAAUACCACUUUAAUACACAAUAUGUGGUUCUAAAGCAGUGCUUUCUGAAGAAAAUGUAAUGUGAGACACAUGUGAUUUCAUUUUUCUAGAGGUCACAUUUCAAGUAAAAAGAAGCUGGUAACAUGGGUGUUAGUAAUAUAUUGUAUUUAACCUUAUAUAUUCAAAAUACAGUCUUUUUAACAUAUGAUGAAUGUAAAAAAUAUUAAUGGUCCUUUUAGCAUUCUUGUUUUAAUAUUGUCUUUCAAAUCCAAUGUGUGCUUAUAGUACAUCUCAAUUUUGAUACUAAAUUUUUACUGGGUAUACUUGAUCUAUAUUUUGAUUUAAUAAAAUUUACAGUUGAUAAAGAUUCACAAAGCCAAGUUGUCCCAUACAUAAAAGUUUUUUUUCAAUAACUAAAUUGAACAUCAGUUUUUAAACCUAAACAUAUAUACUAUUGAUACUAUGUAUAAAAUAGGCAAUGGAUGGGAACAUAUUGUAUAGCACAAGGAACUCUACUUAAUGCACUGUGGUGUCCUAAAUGGGAGGGAAGUCCAAAAGGGGAGGGAAAUGUGCACAUGUAUGGGUGAUUCAGUUUGCUAUACAGUAGAAGCUAACACAACGCUGUAAAGCAAUUGUACUGCAAUACGAUUUAAUUCAUUUAAAAAAGAAAUAAAAUCAUCAAAAUAAAAGCCAUGGCUUCAGUCACAUUGGUCACAUUUUAUGUACUUGGCAGUCCUCUGUGGCUAGUAGCUGCCAUAUUGGACAACUUUUCCAGAGAACUGAUUUAAUGAUGUAAUUCUGCUACCUAAUGGAUUUUGUAGGCAAACCUCAGCACAUCAAAGGAGCAUAGAACUUCAAAAACCUUAAUGAGAAGUUAUCUGAUCCUAUACUUCUAACUUAAAAUAAAUUUUAUAGAACCAGCUAUUUAUGAGAAAUUAUGGGUAAUAAAAUAUACAAUGUGUAAACCUUCAAACUGUAAUACAUUGGAAUUUGUUCACUUUUUGUUUGCUUCAGUGUACAUACUCUUGUCACUAAAGGCAUUAUCUGAUCACAACCCUUCUUAAUUAAAAUGUGAA